RNAcentral lists this ribosomal RNA (396 nucleotides) under uncultured Methanosaeta sp. Its description in RNAcentral is "bacterial SSU rRNA". It matches the Rfam family "Archaeal small subunit ribosomal RNA", at positions 943 to 1338 of the family's 1478-position model. The record is from RNAcentral. Lineage: Archaea; Methanobacteriati; Methanobacteriota; Methanomicrobia; Methanotrichales; Methanotrichaceae.
CAAUAUGAAGGUCAGGCUGAAGACCUUACCCGAUUAGCUGAGAGGUGGUGCAUGGCCGUCGUCAGUUCGUACUGUGAAGCAUCCUGUUAAGUCAGGCAACGAGCGAGACCCACGUCCACAGUUGCCAGCAUACCCUCCGGGGUGAUGGGUACACUGUGGAGACCGCCGCUGCUAAAGCGGAGGAAGGAGUGGGCAACGGUAGGUCAGUAUGCCCCGAAUCUCCCGGGCUACACGCGGGCUACAAUGGUUGGUACAAUGGGCAUCUACCCCGAAAGGGGAAGGAAAUCUCUUAAAGCCAAUCGUAGUUCGGAUUGAGGGCCGCAACUCGCCCUCAUGAAGCUGGAAUCCGUAGUAAUCGCGUUUCAACAGAACGCGGUGAAUACGUCCCUGCUCCUU